AUGAGAGUUUGAUCCUGGCUCAGGACGAACGCUGGCGGCGUGCCUAAUACAUGCAAGUUGAGCGGAGAUAUGGAGAGCUUGCUCUUUAUAUUUUAGCAGCGAACGGGUGAGUAACACGUAGAUAAUUUGUCCUAUAUUGGGGGAUAGGCCGAUGAAAAUUGGAUUAAUACCGCAUACAGCUAUUUAACCGCAUGGGGAGAUAGUGAAAGGGGAGACUUGAUAUAGGAGGAGUCUGCGGCACAUUAGCUAGUAGGUGAGGUAAGAGCUCACCUAGGCGACGAUGUGUAGCCGGUCUGAGAGGAUGAUCGGCCACAAUGGGACUGAGACACGGCCCAUACUCCUACGGGAGGCAGCAGUAGGGAAUCUUCCACAAUGGGCGAAAGCCUGAUGGAGCAACGCCGCGUGAGUGAAGAAGGUUUUCGGAUCGUAAAGCUCUGUUAGCAGGGAAGAGGAAGGACGGUACCUGCAGAGGAAGUCACGGCUAACUACGUGCCAGCAGCCGCGGUAAUACGUAGGUGGCAAGCGUUGUCCGGAUUUAUUGGGCGUAAAGGAUGCGUAGGCGGUUGAGUAAGUUAUGUGUUAAAUAUAUAGGCUUAACCUGUAGAAAGCACAUAAAACUGUUUAACUAGAGUGCAGGAGAGGUAAGUGGAAUUCCUAGUGUAGCGGUGAAAUGCGUAGAUAUAUGGAAGAACACCAGUGGCGAAGGCGGCUCUCUGGUCUGUAACUGACGCUGAGGCUCGAAAGCAUGGGUAGCAAACAGGAUUAGAUACCCUGGUAGUCCAUGCCGUAAACGAUGGGUACUAGGUGUGGGUUGUGAAUAACAAUCCGUGCCGUCGCAAACGCAAUAAGUACCCCGCCUGGGGAGUACGACCGCAAGGUUGAAACUCAAAGGAAUUGACGGGGGCCCGCACAAGCGGUGGAGCAUGUGGUUUAAUUCGAAGCAACGCGAAGAACCUUACCUAAACUUGACAUACCUUGAAUUACCUUGUAAUGAGGGAAGCCCGCAAGGGCAAGGAUACAGGUGGUGCAUGGUUGUCGUCAGCUCGUGUCGUGAGAUGUUGGGUUAAGUCCCGCAACGAGCGCAACCCUUGUUGUUAAUUGCUAACAGGUAGAGCUGAGCACUUUAGCGAGACAGCCUAGGUUAACUAGGAGGAAGGUGGGGAUGACGUCAAAUCAUCAUGCCCCUUACGUUUAGGGCUACACACGUGCUACAAUGGUGAGAACAAAGAGAAGCAAACUAGCGAUAGUGAGCAAAACUUAUAAAACUCAUCUCAGUUCGGAUUGCAGGCUGAAACUCGCCUGUAUGAAGAUGGAAUCGCUAGUAAUCGCGAAUCAGCAUGUCGCGGUGAAUACGUUCCCGGGCCUUGUACACACCGCCCGUCACACCAUGAGAGUUUGUAACACCCAAAGCCGGUGGGCUAACCGAAAGGAGGCAGCCGUCUAAGGUGGGGACAGAUGAUUGGGGUGAAGUCGUAACAAGGUAGCCGUAGGAGAACCUGCGGCUGGAUCACCU
RNAcentral lists this ribosomal RNA (1513 nucleotides) under Candidatus Arthromitus sp. SFB-turkey. RNAcentral describes it as "bacterial SSU rRNA". It matches the Rfam family "Bacterial small subunit ribosomal RNA". The record is from RNAcentral. Lineage: Bacteria; Bacillati; Bacillota; Clostridia; Eubacteriales; Clostridiaceae.